This 68-nucleotide transfer RNA is filed under the name Sialis hamata. RNAcentral's name for it is "tRNA-His". Lineage: Eukaryota; Metazoa; Arthropoda; Insecta; Megaloptera; Sialidae. The record is from RNAcentral.
AUUUAAGUAGUUUAAAAUUAAAAUAUUGAUUUGUGGUAUCAAUGAUAUAAAAUUUUUUAUCUUAAAUU